This 496-nucleotide ribosomal RNA is filed under the name uncultured bacterium. RNAcentral's name for it is "partial 16S ribosomal RNA". It matches the Rfam family "Bacterial small subunit ribosomal RNA", at positions 28 to 507 of the family's 1533-position model. The record is from RNAcentral.
GACGAACGCUGGCGGCGUGCCUAAUACAUGCAAGUUGAGCGCUGAAGGUUGGUACUUGUACCAACUGGAUGAGCAGCGAACGGGUGAGUAACGCGUGGGGAAUCUGCCUUUGAGCGGGGGACAACAUUUGGAAACGAAUGCUAAUACCGCAUAAAACUUUAAACACAAGUUUUAAGUUUGAAAGAUGCAAUUGCAUCACUCAAAGAUGAUCCCGCGUUGUAUUAGCUAGUUGGUGAGGUAAAGGCUCACCAAGGCGAUGAUACAUAGCCGACCUGAGAGGGUGAUCGGCCACAUUGGGACUGAGACACGGCCCAAACUCCUACGGGAGGCAGCAGUAGGGAAUCUUCGGCAAUGGACGAAAGUCUGACCGAGCAACGCCGCGUGAGUGAAGAAGGGUUUCGGAUCGUAAAACUCUGUUGGUAGAGAAGAACGUUGGUGAGAGUGGAAAGCUCAUCAAGUGACGGUAACUACCCAGAAAGGGACGGCUAACUACGUG